This is a long non-coding RNA of Thunnus maccoyii (southern bluefin tuna), 477 nucleotides long. RefSeq lists it as uncharacterized. The transcript is spliced from 2 exons. The record is from RefSeq and is a predicted model, not a curated record. Lineage: Eukaryota; Metazoa; Chordata; Actinopteri; Scombriformes; Scombridae.
CGAAAGUGUAGCCUAUGAAGGGCAUGAGAGCACCGAUGGCGAUGACGGGAGGAUUCAGCACGGUGAAUAUGGCGCCUCCGAUUUCAGUGCAGGUGUUCGUUUGGGCAACUGGCGACACCUGAAGGCCUACAGGGUUGCCAGGUUAUUGAAGUCCGAACUGCAGCUGCAGCAAUCUCUCUCUCUCUCUCUCCCUCCUUUGACUGCUUGCUGCUUUCUGUUUUCUGUUUCUCCCUUCAGGCGCCCGUUCUGGUUUCAUUUAGUUAUGCUGCCUUAGUUAUUUACUUUGCUUUGAUGCAUCUUCCAACACACACACACACACACACACACACACACACACACACACACACACACACACACACACUCGCCACUCAUGCAUCACAUACACCACUGAUACCACUGAUUUCCACUCUCCAUAUUUUGUUCAUUAUUUAAUUUGGCUUAAUUUGUUUAAUAAAUGUAUCUUUUGUUAUCUCUUUA